CCGAACCGUCGACACGAGUUGUUGCUGGUCCUCGAAAGGGGGCAUGUGCACGCUCUGUUUACACAUCCACUCACACCUGUGCACACUAUGUAGUUCUAUGGCCUGGGGACUCCGUCCUCUUGCCGUGGUCCUACGUCUUUACACACACACCGUAACAAAGUCUCAUGGAAUGCAUGUCGCGUUUAACGCAAUACAAUA
This 198-nucleotide unclassified non-coding RNA is filed under the name uncultured Thelephoraceae. RNAcentral's name for it is "sequence contains ITS1". Lineage: Eukaryota; Fungi; Basidiomycota; Agaricomycetes; Thelephorales; Thelephoraceae. The record is from RNAcentral.